Molecule: unclassified non-coding RNA, 337 nt
Filed under: soil metagenome
Description: partial contains 5.8S ribosomal RNA, internal transcribed spacer 2, and large subunit ribosomal RNA
Rfam family: 5.8S ribosomal RNA (bases 1-120)
Source: RNAcentral
GAUGAAGAACGUAGCGAAAUGCGAUAAGUAGUGUGAAUUGCAGAAUUCAGUGAAUCAUCGAAUCUUUGAACGCACAUUGCGCCCCUUGGUAUUCCAUGGGGCAUGCCUGUUCGAGCGUCAUCUACACCCUCAAGCUCUGCUUGGUGUUGGGCGUCUGUCCCGCCUUUGCGCGUGGACUCGCCCCAAAUUCAUUGGCAGCGGUCCUUGCCUCCUCUCGCGCAGCACAUUUGCGCUUCUCGAGGUGCGCGGGCCGCGUCCACGAAGCAACUAUUACCGUCUUUGACCUCGGAUCAGGUAGGGAUACCCGCUGAACUUAAGCAUAUCAGUAAGCGGAGGA